Long non-coding RNA from Trematomus bernacchii (emerald rockcod), 450 nucleotides. RefSeq lists it as uncharacterized. Lineage: Eukaryota; Metazoa; Chordata; Actinopteri; Perciformes; Nototheniidae. The transcript is spliced from 4 exons. The record is from RefSeq and is a predicted model, not a curated record.
CCAUCACCAACAACUCCAUCACCAACAACUCCAACACCAACAAUACCUUUAGUAUUUUAUGAAUACCAGAUUAUUACCGAGGUGAAUACCAGCGAUGUGGAUCAGCUGAGAAACGUCCUGAACAGUUUAACUUUUCCUGUCCAGAUCAGCUCCUCAGUUAACAUAUUAGAUGCCAAUAUCACCACAGUUUGCAGCCAAGAUAACACUGGGUUUCAGUGCCACUGUGAAAAUGACUAUCUUUGGCCGUGUGAUAAGUGUGACACCUAUGGGAAAUGUGAUGGUAAUACAAGCAACACAUGUGGAUGCAUCAAUGCCAUUCCUCCUGAUGGACAAUACUGCCAGCCUGCUGAUCAAUACAAUGUUACAGCUUGUCCUCUUUUAACAACUCCAUCACCAACAACUCCAUCACCAACAACUCUUCCUUCAACAACUCCAUCACCAACAACUCUU